GCCUUCGUGGUGUAGUGGUCAGCACACUCGAUGCGCAUUCGAGAGGUCCGUGGUUCGAGUCCCGGCGAGGGCA
Non-coding RNA from Stegodyphus mimosarum, 73 nucleotides. The record is from Rfam. NCBI's taxonomy places the organism in Eukaryota, Metazoa, Arthropoda, Arachnida, Araneae, Eresidae.